UCCUCCUCCUCCUGCCUCCCAGCUUCCUCUCUACCUGAUCCUUUCCCUUGCAGGCGUUUCUGUUCUGGUUCUACUGAUCUCUCUGGUUCUUCUGGUGAUACGACGCCUCAGAAGGAAACCUGAAGAGAGCAAUCUGCCAGAUUAUUCAGCGGCAGAAAGAAGAGCACCGGCUCCUGGUGAGGAAGCAAACAGGAGAACAGAACCAGCUCCGGAUACAGUUUAUUCAUUGGUGGGGCCACAGAGCGAGGUCAUUUAUGGGCCGGUCGACAUCAGGAUGAACAGGAGAGAACCUCGACCAGAACCAGAACCACAGGUUGUCUACUCGCUGCUGAGGUCCUCCGGGGAACCUUCACAGCAGUCCAUCCCGGCUCGCUGGUAACUGGAUCUACUCACAGAACCAUCCAUCCAUCCUGGUAGCAACAGGUCCAGGAGUCGUACCCAGAGAUCCUUCAGCCACACUCCAGCUGGUUCUGAUGGCGUUCCAGUGUUAGAGAGGAUAAACUGUACUGAUAUAACACGUCGUUGAGCCGUUAUAAAGACAUGCAAAAGGAAAACGACCCCUGGAAAGAGGUAGAGCGAGCGAUGGAUGCAGGAGGCGGUCUGUUGGAAGAGAUGGAGAUAUCAUCAGGAUAAAUUUAUGAUGCCACACAUCAGGUCAGCAAAAAGAAGAGCGGUGAUCCUGGCGUGAAAAAAACGGUCCUGGCUGUCUUCACGUCCUUAAAGUGACCCGACAAACACCCAACACUCUGUGAGACAACCACCGUGUCUUUGUCUCAGACUGAGGAAAUGGAUUCAGAGCCUGAGGGACGGUCCGGUGCCAUCGUGGCCUGGACUCCUCCCAUGCGGCCUGAUCUCUGUCCACCAUCAGCCUGGCAGACCUGGGAGCUCAGCGCUCCACUACCAGCCUGACGUGGCAGAGCUUUCCACACAGGAAGAGGCCCAGCAGCUCAGCAGGCCUUCAUUUUCAGUCACACUUGGUGUCUUGGACAAAAGGAGGGUUGGGGGGGGGGGAGCAGUGAUGGAAGCUGGGAGACAGAGAUGGACCAGUGUGGCAGAUACAUCAGGGAUUUUAUGAGUUUAUGAGAGAAUUCAGGAGGAAGCUACAUCAGCGUAUGUUUGCUGGAGGUCAGCGAUGCAGAAAUACAGACAUCUUCUACAGUGAUGCCAUCUCUUUGUCAACAACACAGCAGUAUAUGUUGAUCCCUGAUGAUGUUCCUGAUGAUGACUGUAAGUUCACUUUUCUGAACCAGAGCGCCUCAUUUCUAGAGACGCUGAUGUAGCAGAAAGCUGAAAACAGGUGGACUGAUUCCACGCUCUGUUAAAAAGUUAUUUAAGUAUCAGGUUAUCUCUGCUGGUUUUCCUCCUGCAGAUUUAAACACCUUCUUCUCUGCAUUUAGAUCAGGUGUGUUCAAAGUGGGGCCUGGGGGCCGUUUGUGGCCCCUAGCACUGGUGGCUGAUGCACAUGGAAGAUUUUUACCUUUACUUAGGGCAAAAUUAUUACAGACUAGUUAAAAUCUUACAAUUAAAUGUUAGGCACCACACAUUAGUCUUUUAAUAACUACACGUUUUACAUGCUUUUUAAUUUCAGAGUC
Long non-coding RNA from Fundulus heteroclitus (mummichog), 1592 nucleotides. RefSeq lists it as uncharacterized. The transcript is spliced from 5 exons. The record is from RefSeq and is a predicted model, not a curated record. Lineage: Eukaryota; Metazoa; Chordata; Actinopteri; Cyprinodontiformes; Fundulidae.